AGAGUUUGAUCCUGGCUCAGGACGAACGCUGGCGGCGUGCCUAAUACAUGCAAGUCGAGCGCAGGAAAUCGACGGAACCCUUCGGGGGGAAGUCGACGGAAUGAGCGGCGGACGGGUGAGUAACACGUAAAGAACAUGCCAUAAGGACGAGAAAUCGGGUCUAAUACCGGAUGGGUCCUCGGACCGCAUGCUCCGAGGAUGAAAGGCGCUUCGGCGUCGCCUAAAGAUGAGUAUGCGGUGCAUUAGCUAGUUGGUGGGGUAAUGGCCCACCAAGGCGACGAUGCAUAGCCGACCUGAGAGGGUGAUCGGCCACACUGGGACUGAGACACGGCCCAGACUCCUACGGGAGGCAGCAGUAGGGAAUCUUCCACAAUGGACGAAAGUCUGAUGGAGCAACGCCGCGUGAACGAUGAAGGCCUUCGGGUCGUAAAGUUCUGUUGUAAGGGAAGAACAAGUGCCGCAGGCAAUGGCGGCACCUUGACGGUACCUGCAGAAGAAGCGCCGGCUAACUACGUGCCAGCAGCCGCGGUAAUACGUAGGGCGCAAGCGUUAUCCGGAAUUAUUGGGCGUAAAGAGCUCGUAGGCGGUUUGUCGCGUCUGCCGUGAAAGUCCGGGGCUCAACUCCGGAUCUGCGGUGGGUACGGGCAGACUAGAGUGAUGUAGGGAGGCUUGAAUUCCUGGUGUAGCGGUGAAAUGCGCAGAUAUCAGGAGGAACACCGAUGGCGAAGGCAGGUCUCUGGGCAUUAACUGACGCUGAGGAGCGAAAGCAUGGGGAGCGAACAGGAUUAGAUACCCUGGUAGUCCAUGCCGUAAACGUUGGGCACUAGGUGUGGGGGACAUUCCACGUUUUCCGCGCCGUAGCUAACGCAUUAAGUGCCCCGCCUGGGGAGUACGGCCGCAAGGCUAAAACUCAAAGGAAUUGACGGGGGCCCGCACAAGCGGCGGAGCAUGCGGAUUAAUUCGAUGCAACGCGAAGAACCUUACCAAGGCUUGACAUGAACCGGAAAUACCUGGAGACAGGUGCCCCGCUUGCGGUCGGUUUACAGGUGGUGCAUGGUUGUCGUCAGCUCGUGUCGUGAGAUGUUGGGUUAAGUCCCGCAACGAGCGCAACCCUUGUCCUUAGUUGCCAUCAUUCAGUUGGGCACUCUAAGGAGACUGCCGGUGACAAACCGGAGGAAGGUGGGGAUGACGUCAAAUCAUCAUGCCCCUUAUGAGUUGGGCUACACACGUGCUACAAUGGACGGUACAAAGGGCAGCGAACCCGCGAGGGGGAGCCAAUCCCAGAAAACCGUUCUCAGUUCGGAUUGCAGGCUGCAACUCGCCUGCAUGAAGCCGGAAUCGCUAGUAACCGUGGAUCAGCAUGCCACGGUGAAUACGUUCCCGGGCCUUGUACACAACGCCCGUCA
Molecule: ribosomal RNA, 1406 nt
Filed under: uncultured bacterium
Lineage: Bacteria
Description: 16S ribosomal RNA
Rfam family: Bacterial small subunit ribosomal RNA
Source: RNAcentral